CGGGGUGUAGCUCAGUUGGCUAGAGCGCCUGCUUUGGGAGCAGGAGGCCGUGGGUUCAAGUCCCUCCACCCCGACCA
This 77-nucleotide transfer RNA is filed under the name Elusimicrobiota bacterium. RNAcentral describes it as "Elusimicrobia bacterium (activated sludge metagenome) tRNA-Pro". It matches the Rfam family "tRNA". From Rfam's summary of the family: Transfer RNA (tRNA) molecules are approximately 80 nucleotides in length. Their secondary structure includes four short double-helical elements and three loops (D, anti-codon, and T loops). The record is from RNAcentral. Lineage: Bacteria; Pseudomonadati; Elusimicrobiota.